UAUUUCACAAUGGGGGAAACCCUGAUGCAGCGACGCCGCGUGUGUGAAGAAGUCUUUCGGUAUGUAAAGCUCUUUCAGCAGGGAAGAAAAUGACGGUAUCUGAUUAAGAAGCCCCGGCUGACUACGUGCCAGCAGCCGCGGUAAGACGUAGGGGGCAAGCGUUAGCCGGAUUUACUGGGUGUAAAGGGAGCGUAGACGGCAGCACAAGUCUGGAGUGAAAUGCCGGGGCUUAACCCCGGAACUGCUUUGGAAACUGUGCAGCUAGAGUGCAGGAGAGGUAAGUGGAAUUCCUAGUGUAGCGGUGAAAUGCGUAGAUAUUAGGAGGAACACCAGUGGCGAAGGCGGCUUACUGGACUGUAACUGACGUUGAGGCUCGAAAGCGUGGGGAGCAAACAGG
RNAcentral lists this ribosomal RNA (397 nucleotides) under uncultured bacterium. Its description in RNAcentral is "bacterial SSU rRNA". It matches the Rfam family "Bacterial small subunit ribosomal RNA", at positions 362 to 776 of the family's 1533-position model. The record is from RNAcentral.